CUCACAGAUCCAUAAGAUGCUUUGGCUGAGUUUGCUAGCCAGUGAUAAUAGAAAACUAAGCAAUGAUCUUUCUCUUCUCUUCUCUUCUCGGAAGUGUCCAUAGUCUUCUGUUUGACUCUCCUUUGUGAGAUCUUCCCUUUUGAACAGUCGCUGUCUUCACCCCUCCUCACUCUUUAUUUCUCUCUCUCUUUUGUUAGAGCAGUUUCCACUUCCAUUCACUUUUUGCCCAUGAUCCAUUUCGACCUGUUACAGUGGAGAAAUUUCUCUGUCCAAUUGCUUCUGAUUGAGGGGCUAGCUUCUUUUUUUUGUUGGGGUUCUUUAGGGUUACAUGGGACAUGGGUCAUUUUUAUUCAAUUAUAAGUUAAUGUGAAAGUGGAACCACAGAUCUCUGUACCAAAAACCUUGCAAUUUAAGUGUUACUAUGUGUUUUUCUAAUUUCUGCUUUUUAUUUUUGUUUAUUUUGUUGAUGAUCUAACAGGUAAGAGAGCUUUCUUCAGUCCACUCAUGGGUGGCGAUGGGAUUUAAUUAGCUGCCGACUCAUUCAUCCAAAUACUGAGUUAAAAGGAUCAGCAAAGAUACCCAGUAAAUGAGUGAAUGAUGCGGGAGACAAAUUGAAUCCUAAACUUCCUGUGCUUGGACUGAAGGGAGCUCCCUCUGCUGUUAUUUUAUCCACUUGUAACUCUUUUUAGUUUCUUAGAUCUUCUUUUGUCUUGUUCAUAUCACAAUUUCAUGUACUUUACUCAAGGUUUUUCAUAUCUUUUUAUGACAGCCAUGCUUUUAUAUAUAUAUUUAUAUAUCACAAUUCUAAGUAGUACUUUAGUGCUGAGGUAAUGUUGGAAUGAUGAUCUUUAACUUAUUCGUUUAUUCUUUUUCGUGGACAUAUGUCUAGAUUAUCUCAACUUCUUAAUGGCGGUGGGUUAUCUUUGUUCGGCUUCAACGAAUCUAAAGAAAUACGCCACCAGUUUCCUGACUAGGGCUAAGGUUUCGGCUCGAAAACCUUGGAGACCAGAAGUUUUAGGGUUUCUGUCAAGCUGGAGUUGCAGUUUCUUGUUAAAAGCUCCCUAAAAAGGCAACGCAUGGGAGGAGAAGCUCGCAAAGCUCACGCUCUACGACAAAACCUUCUUGGGUCUUGCUAUCUUACUGCAACAAGUUCCUAGACAUGUCUGCCAACAUUGGAAUUACCAAAACAUCCCCUUCCGGUUGUUUAAAAAAGUCUUUGGACCAAGAUUUGCAGGAAUGUGAAGCACUAAUCUUUGUUCUAAUCCUGUGUCUUUGGGUGAUUUUACUCUUUUCAAGUUUGGAUGCAAAGGUAAAACGCAGCACUUUUUCUGUAUGCCCACUUUCUAGUUCCUUUCCUGUAUAAACAUUGAUAAGCAAAAAUCAAUUAAUUAUUUAAUUGCAAUAAAUAGGGCUUUGAAAAAGUAAUAAAUGAAUUAGCAUACAUCUACCAGAACCUUCUGCUGUUACGUAUGGGAAGUUGCAACAGGCAGUUUCCAAUUAACAUCUGGCAGUAUUGAGCAAUUUUCAUCAUGUCAACCAUUCAUGGUUGCUUGUAUGUCCAUAUAAAAAACCUUUGAUAAAAGGAUACUUAGGCUUU
RNAcentral lists this small RNA (1597 nucleotides) under Theobroma cacao (cacao). Its description in RNAcentral is "sRNA Tc03v2_g024290". The stretch from base 473 to 665 matches the Rfam family "MIR159 microRNA precursor family". Lineage: Eukaryota; Viridiplantae; Streptophyta; Magnoliopsida; Malvales; Malvaceae. The record is from RNAcentral.